Pteropus vampyrus (large flying fox) is the source of this 119-nucleotide ribosomal RNA. NCBI's taxonomy places the organism in Eukaryota, Metazoa, Chordata, Mammalia, Chiroptera, Pteropodidae. The record is from Ensembl.
GACAAUGGCCAUGCUACCCUGAACACACCCGAUCUCGCCUGAUUUCGAAAGCUAAGCAGGGUAGGGUCUGGAUAGUACUUGGAUGGGAGACCACCUAAGAAGACCGGGUGCUAUAGGCG